RNAcentral lists this ribosomal RNA (456 nucleotides) under ascomycete sp. olrim320. Its description in RNAcentral is "eukaryotic LSU rRNA". The stretch from base 141 to 294 matches the Rfam family "5.8S ribosomal RNA". The record is from RNAcentral. Lineage: Eukaryota; Fungi; Ascomycota.
UGUGAACGCACCGUUAGCCGUUGCCUCGGCGGGCGGCCCCUCCCUGGGGCCGCUGCCCCCCUCGCGGGGGGUGCCCGCCGGCGCGCCAAAACUCUUUUGUAUUUUAGUGGCCUCUCUGAGAAAACAAGCAAAUAAGUUAAAACUUUCAACAACGGAUCUCUUGGUUCUGGCAUCGAUGAAGAACGCAGCGAAAUGCGAUAAGUAAUGUGAAUUGCAGAAUUCAGUGAAUCAUCGAAUCUUUGAACGCACAUUGCGCCCGCCAGUACUCUGGCGGGCAUGCCUGUCCGAGCGUCAUUUCAACCCUCAAGCCCCGCUUGGUGUUGGGGUCCUACGGCUGCCGUAGGCCCUGAAAGUUAGUGGCGGGCUCGCUAUAACUCCGAGCGUAGUAGUAACAUAUCUCGCUAGGGAGGUGUCGCGGGUUCCGGCCGUGAAAGCCCCAUCUUUUACACAAGGUUG